GUGGGGAAUCUUGGGCAAUGGGCGCAAGCCUGACCCAGCCAUGCCGCGUGUGCGAAGAAGGCCUUCGGGUUGUAAAGCACUUUCAGUGGUGAAGAAAAGCCAGGGGCUAAUACCCCCAGGUCUUGACGUUAGCCACAGAAGAAGUACCGGCUAACUCCGUGCCAGCAGCCGCGGUAAUACGGAGGGUACGAACGUUAAUCGGAAUUACUGGGCGUAAAGCGCGCGUAGGCGGUUCGGUAAGUGGGAUGUGAAAGCCCUGGGCUCAACCUGGGAACUGCAUUCCAAACUGCCGGGCUAGAGUAUGGUAGAGGGAGGUAGAAUUUCCUGUGUAGCGGUGAAAUGCGUAGAUAUAGGAAGGAAUACCAGUGGCGAAGGCGGCCUCCUGGAUCAAUACUGACGCUGAGGUGCGAAAGCGUGGGGAGCAAACAGGAUUAGAAACCCCAGUAGUCC
RNAcentral lists this ribosomal RNA (450 nucleotides) under uncultured bacterium. Its description in RNAcentral is "bacterial SSU rRNA". It matches the Rfam family "Bacterial small subunit ribosomal RNA", at positions 354 to 796 of the family's 1533-position model. The record is from RNAcentral.